GCCUUCGUAGUGUAACGGUAGCCCACUUGGCGAAUAUUCAAGACGUCCGGGUUCGAGUCCCGGCUAGGGCA
Molecule: transfer RNA, 71 nt
Filed under: Stegodyphus mimosarum
Lineage: Eukaryota; Metazoa; Arthropoda; Arachnida; Araneae; Eresidae
Rfam family: tRNA
About the family: Transfer RNA (tRNA) molecules are approximately 80 nucleotides in length.
Source: Rfam by way of RNAcentral